RNAcentral lists this non-coding RNA (125 nucleotides) under unclassified sequences. Its description in RNAcentral is "pemK RNA". It matches the Rfam family "pemK RNA". The record is from RNAcentral.
ACAAUGAUACUCCCUUAUAGCUAAACGAGGCCCCAUGUUGGGGUGCUUCCAAGUCCGAGCGUUAAAAGCGUCGCAGGCAAUAGGUAGGGCCGCGUGAGAACCACGCGGGGGUGAGAUUCCCGUGG